AAAUUCCCUCCCGCACGACCAGUCUCCCCUCGUUCACGACUCAGCCGCCGCCUCCCAUUGCUAACCCAAGCGUCACACCCAUCGUUAUCCUAGGUGUCGGGGCCGGCGCUGGCGCCGCCACUCGACUCCUCCGAUCUCUCCUCUCUGGUGUCGCUGAAGCCCUAAGGAGGAGCCGUCUGGUGGUCUGAAGGUUGCGUGCCUUCCAUCUCCUCCAAUUGCUUCAUAGUCUCCCACGUGAGAGCCUGAGAUGUGGUUGUUUCUUUGUAAUGGAUGCACCGCCGGCAAACAAUGUAGGCAACAAGCCCUUGUGGAAUUAUGUGGGAGGUGGAGGAAAUAUGCGAUUCAAAUGCAGGUUUUGUACUCAUGAAUACAAUGGAAGCUGCGCGAGAGUUAAAGCACAUUUGCUUAAGAUAAGAAAUAAGGGGAUAAUAAGGUGUCCAAGUGUGACAGAUUCUACUCUUCAACAGCUUCAAAAUUAAGUUGCGGCGGCUGAAGAUCAAGUUUAUGGUGCAUUUCCAUGUUUCUAUCACCUUAUCAAGUUAUUAGAAUUCCUUAAUUAGUUGCUAUUUUGUGUGCACUCGUCUUACUCCUAUGAAGAAUCAUUACUUUUGGUAUAUAUUUUUAAUAGUUAAAUAUUAUAUAUAUAUAUUCAAAUGUAUC
Molecule: long non-coding RNA, 660 nt
Organism: Lolium perenne
Lineage: Eukaryota; Viridiplantae; Streptophyta; Magnoliopsida; Poales; Poaceae
Source: RefSeq, a predicted model, not a curated record